CAAAACAUGUAUUUUUACUGCUGUAAUUCUGUUGGUAACCAGUUUGUAAUAGCAAUACGGCACAUCUGGGGUUUGUGGUAUAUGGCCAAUAUACCACGGCUAGGGGCUGUAUUCAGGCGUUUCACGUUGCAUCGUGCUAAGAACAGCCCUAUACCACACCCCAUCAUGCCUUAUUGCUUAAGUAUAAGUCAUACCCAUAGAACCUAGCGGUAAAACCCAGAAAUGUUUGCAAUCGUUUUUUUAACCAUUCAUUUUUUCGUCUUUAUAUAAGUUUUUUGUAGCCUUUUGUAGCGAACUAGCUAACCUUAGGUCUCCGUCGAUCAGAAGCAAGGAUGGUUCUGUGCUAUGUACCGGAUUGUAACCACUACUCCAAAAAGCACACACACAUUUUGUUUUCCGACCCCGAGAGACGUCGCUGUAGCAGUGUGAUAAGGCCAACAGGAGUGCACCCCUCAGACCAUCCGGUGCAUGGACAUCCUGUGCCAGUGGUAGGAUAUCCUGUGCCAGUGUGAUCCGAGCGCAACCGUCCAGUUGUAGACUACAGCAGAUCGAGCCUGUGGACGGAGAGUCCAACAGGAGUGUAUCCUUCAGACCAUCCGGUGCAUAGACAUCCUGCGCCAGUGUGAUCCGAGCAUGAGCGUCCAGUUAUGGAGGCUACCAUUGGUGGGAAAAGUACUCAAUUGUCAUACUUGAGUAAAAAUGAGGCGUGACAUGCGAAACAUCAGUCUCACCCCACGAGAAGCAGUACAUGAUCAACGCCAUCCUCAGCAAGGAGAUCUGCUGGAAGUGAUGUACUCUCACUCUGGGGAAAACGGGUACUGACAGGAGGAGCAAUUACGAGACUGUCAGAGGUCGUCGUGAUGGAGGCUUGGUGGUCAAAACAACACAGAAUCAGGUGUUCCUUCGAAUGAUGUGGCACAGACCUUGGACCUGGUUCCAGUGAGGAUGGUCUUCAGAGGCUGUAAGACCCUCCCUCCUUGAUAUAGAAAUCAACUUCAAUGGUAAUGCCCCUGCACCAUAAGGACACUUGACCUCUAACCACUGCAGUGGUGCUCACCAGACCAUCCAAGUGAGGCUCCCAGGACCGAAAGCCCUGACUCUCACACAUCUAUCCCUGUAGCCAUUUUGAAUGCCUGAUGCCCUCCUCUUUAUGUGCCCCACUUUACAGGCAACACCCCAUCCAAUGAGUGUGAUCUGAGGACCCUGCUCCACCGACAGCACCAUGCCAGCCUGGUUGCCUGCAUGCCCCAGGUGCCCUUGUUUUUGAACAAUGUCUGGUACAGGGAGAGUUGCAGUUGUUCUAGCUCAGGUUCAAGGAGACAUGCCAUUCCACUGAACCUUCCCUGGGGACGGUUCCUUACCACGGAAGAUCCUCCUCUGUGGGCUCCCGGGACAGAGAGGAUUUGUAGUCUUCGGCCAGGUACAGGUCCUCCACUGACUGCACCUGGUUGGGCCCGGCUGGCUUCCUCCUCACACUCCACAUCCAUACAGCUGAUAUUGUGAUCUGCCAAAAUAGGCUGCAUGGCUACACUUAUGAGCUCCAUGGAGGCAUUUGCUUGUGAUAGAGAGAAUUACCUGGUCACUUAUUAUAGAGACCUGACAAGCGGAAGGAUGUUAAGUGCCACAUGCCUUUGUGCUUGACUUUGAACACCCUGAAAUGCAUUUGUUGUAAGAGUGCUAAUAAGAAGUUUGACAGAAUAUUUCAACUGUAAUUUUCACAAGGACAAGUGCAGUUUUUCCAUAAACUUUUAAUUGAUAAUUUGAUUUUCACUUUACAUAUCAGUCAGUGCAAAGGAUCCCAUAAUCAAGACUGUGAAUAAAUAAAUUGUUUUUGAAGCUU
Oncorhynchus mykiss (rainbow trout) is the source of this 1840-nucleotide non-coding RNA. NCBI's taxonomy places the organism in Eukaryota, Metazoa, Chordata, Actinopteri, Salmoniformes, Salmonidae. The record is from RefSeq and is a predicted model, not a curated record.